Molecule: ribosomal RNA, 557 nt
Filed under: uncultured eukaryote
Lineage: Eukaryota
Description: SSU rRNA
Rfam family: Eukaryotic small subunit ribosomal RNA
Source: RNAcentral
GUAGUCAUAUGCUUGUCUCAAAGAUUAAGCCAUGCAUGUCUAAGCACAAGCCGAUUAAUGGUGAAGCCGCGAAUGGCUCAUUACAACAGCCACUGUUUACUUGAUCUUGACUAUCCUACUUGGAUAACUGUGGUAAUUCUAGAGCUAAUACACGCAAAAAAGCUCCGACCUUACGGGACGAGCGCAUUUAUUAGACCAAAACCAAUCGGGCUUCGGCCUGAAACGUUGGUGACUCUGAAUAACUGAGCUGAUCGCAUGGUCUCGUACCGGCGACGUAUCAUUCAAGUGUCUGCCUUAUCAACUUUCGAUGGUAGUUUAUGUGCCUACCAUGGUUGUUACGGGUAACGGAGAAUAAGGGUUCGACUCCGGAGAGGGAGCCUGAGAAACGGCUACCGCAUCCAAGGAAGGCAGCAGGCGCGCAAAUUACCCACUCUCGGCACGAGGAGGUAGCGACGAAAAAUAACGAGGCGGUUCUCUAUGAGGCCCGCUAUCGGAAUGAGUACAAUUUAAACCCUUUAACGAGGACCUAUGAGAGGGCAAGUCUGGUGCCAGCAGCC